This 1452-nucleotide ribosomal RNA is filed under the name Arthrobacter sp. TM4_3. Its description in RNAcentral is "bacterial SSU rRNA". It matches the Rfam family "Bacterial small subunit ribosomal RNA". Lineage: Bacteria; Bacillati; Actinomycetota; Actinomycetes; Micrococcales; Micrococcaceae. RNAcentral also lists the same sequence under 2 other names. The record is from RNAcentral.
GAACGCUGGCGGCGUGCUUAACACAUGCAAGUCGAACGAUGAAGCCCAGCUUGCUGGGUGGAUUAGUGGCGAACGGGUGAGUAACACGUGAGUAACCUGCCCCCGACUCUGGGAUAAGCCCGGGAAACUGGGUCUAAUACCGGAUAUUACCUUUGACCGCAUGGUUGUUGGUGGAAAGAUUUAUCGGUGGGGGAUGGACUCGCGGCCUAUCAGCUUGUUGGUGAGGUAAUGGCUCACCAAGGCGACGACGGGUAGCCGGCCUGAGAGGGUGACCGGCCACACUGGGACUGAGACACGGCCCAGACUCCUACGGGAGGCAGCAGUGGGGAAUAUUGCACAAUGGGCGAAAGCCUGAUGCAGCGACGCCGCGUGAGGGAUGACGGCCUUCGGGUUGUAAACCUCUUUCAGUAGGGAAGAAGCGAAAGUGACGGUACCUGCAGAAGAAGCGCCGGCUAACUACGUGCCAGCAGCCGCGGUAAUACGUAGGGCGCAAGCGUUAUCCGGAUUUAUUGGGCGUAAAGAGCUCGUAGGCGGUUUGUCGCGUCUGCCGUGAAAGUCCGAGGCUCAACCUCGGAUCUGCGGUGGGUACGGGCAGACUAGAGUGAUGUAGGGGAGACUGGAAUUCCUGGUGUAGCGGUGAAAUGCGCAGAUAUCAGGAGGAACACCGAUGGCGAAGGCAGGUCUCUGGGCAUUUACUGACGCUGAGGAGCGAAAGCAUGGGGAGCGAACAGGAUUAGAUACCCUGGUAGUCCAUGCCGUAAACGUUGGGCACUAGGUGUGGGGGACAUUCCACGUUUUCCGCGCCGUAGCUAACGCAUUAAGUGCCCCGCCUGGGGAGUACGGCCGCAAGGCUAAAACUCAAAGGAAUUGACGGGGGCCCGCACAAGCGGCGGAGCAUGCGGAUUAAUUCGAUGCAACGCGAAGAACCUUACCAAGGCUUGACAUGUGCCAGACCGCCUCAGAGAUGGGGUUUCCCUUCGGGGCUGGUUCACAGGUGGUGCAUGGUUGUCGUCAGCUCGUGUCGUGAGAUGUUGGGUUAAGUCCCGCAACGAGCGCAACCCUCGUUCCAUGUUGCCAGCACGUAAAGGUGGGGACUCAUGGGAGACUGCCGGGGUCAACUCGGAGGAAGGUGGGGAUGACGUCAAAUCAUCAUGCCCCUUAUGUCUUGGGCUUCACGCAUGCUACAAUGGCCGGUACAAUGGGUUGCGAUACUGUGAGGUGGAGCUAAUCCCUAAAAGCCGGUCUCAGUUCGGAUUGGGGUCUGCAACUCGACCCCAUGAAGUCGGAGUCGCUAGUAAUCGCAGAUCAGCAACGCUGCGGUGAAUACGUUCCCGGGCCUUGUACACACCGCCCGUCAAGUCACGAAAGUUGGUAACACCCGAAGCCGAUGGCCUAACCACCUUGUGUGGGGGGAGUCGUCGAAGGUGGGACUGGCGAUUGGGACUAAGUCGU